Molecule: ribosomal RNA, 242 nt
Filed under: uncultured bacterium
Lineage: Bacteria
Description: partial 16S ribosomal RNA
Rfam family: Bacterial small subunit ribosomal RNA
Source: RNAcentral
GACGAGGGACCUAGCGUUGUUCGGAAUCAUUGGGCGUAAAGGGUGCGUAGGUGGCCAUGUAAGUCAGUUGUGAAAUCCCCGGGCUCAACCCGGGAAGUGCUUCUGAUACUGCUUGGCUUGAAUAUUGGAGAGGUGAGUGGAAUUCCAGGUGUAGUGGUGAAAUACGUAGAUAUCUGGAGGAACACCGGCGGCGAAGGCGGCUCACUGGCCAUAUAUUGACACUGAAGCACGAAAGCGCUGGG